CCGAAACUCCCAGAGGGAGGGUGAGAACCCUCGUCAGGGUUCGACUGAUACCGCAGGUAUCAGGACAACCUGUGCAACAGGUUGCCCCAAAGGGGUGAGCGCAGCGAAUCAAUCCCUCCCUCACCGCCA
This 129-nucleotide small RNA is filed under the name Mangrovibacter phragmitis. Its description in RNAcentral is "RtT sRNA". It matches the Rfam family "RtT RNA". From Rfam's summary of the family: This family represents a bacterial cis-regulatory element known as RtT RNA. The exact function of RtT is unknown although it is thought that it may be involved in changing the cellular response in relation to amino acid starvation. Lineage: Bacteria; Pseudomonadati; Pseudomonadota; Gammaproteobacteria; Enterobacterales; Enterobacteriaceae. The record is from RNAcentral.